ACUCCUACGGGAGGCAGCAGUGGGGAAUAUUGCACAAUGGGGGAAACCCUGAUGCAGCCAUGCCGCGUGUGUGAAGAAGGCCUUCGGGUUGUAAAGCACUUUCAGUAGGGAGGAAGGUAGUGUAGUUAACACCUGCAUUAUUUGACGUUACCUACAGAAGAAGCACCGGCUAACUCCGUGCCAGCAGCCGCGGUAAUACGGAGGGUGCGAGCGUUAAUCGGAAUUACUGGGCGUAAAGCGCAUGCAGGCGGCCUGUUAAGUCAGAUGUGAAAGCCCGGGGCUUAACCUCGGAAUUGCAUUUGAAACUGGCAGGCUAGAGUCUUGUAGAGGGGGGUAGAAUUUCAGGUGUAGCGGUGAAAUGCGUAGAGAUCUGAAGGAUACCAGUGGCGAAGGCGGCCCCCUGGACAAAGACUGACGCUCAGAUGCGAAAGCUGGGGGAGCAAACAGGAUUAGAUACCCUGGUAGCACAGAG
RNAcentral lists this ribosomal RNA (472 nucleotides) under uncultured bacterium. Its description in RNAcentral is "bacterial SSU rRNA". It matches the Rfam family "Bacterial small subunit ribosomal RNA", at positions 335 to 799 of the family's 1533-position model. The record is from RNAcentral.